AAAUAGGCAAGAACCUGAAUGCUGCUAUUUCCACAUGUUUUUAGCUUGUUUUGGAACAGCUGAGCAGUUUUUCAGAACAGUUGCUGCAGUAGGGGUAUUCAGACAUUGUUGACAAAGCAAGAAACAUUAAGCUGAUUUUGCCAGACAUAAUUGCUAUUAUCUUUUGCUAUUAUGGUCUUGAGGGUAACAAUGCUGCUCACUGUGCAGGUGGCUGUGAUGUUCUGGACUAUCUCUAUGUUGCCACGCAUUGGCUCUAGUUAUGAGCUCCAGGAUACCAUCCAUGCUUUGAAAGAUGAGAAUGUCCACCUUCACCACCGUCUGGAGAAUCUCACCCGCGCUCUCCGCAAACUGAAGCAUCUGCUCUUGGAUCACUCAAGAGGUAUCGGUCCUGAGAAACAUCACCUGCUGGAACAGGCUUUCUGCUGGCCUGAUCUCCAAGGAGCUGCCAGUCCUAUCUUCACAGUACCUGCCCUCUUCCUCCUUACUCCAAUCAUUGUCUGGUUGAGCCAUCUGCUUUUCUGACUUCUGUGAACUUGAGAAUACAGAAAUCACUAUUGUUAGCCUGGUCCCAGAUCUGUUUGUGCUUUCUUGCCAACUCCGCCAACUCCUCUGGUCAGUGUCUCACGCAUGAGUUAGUGUAGAACCCCGUAUUAUCGGCAUAUUAAACAGUGUUUAAGAAAUAUAUUACCUUCAACAGUGUUAUCCUGUGAUCAAACCAUCAAUGUUUUGUGAUUAUUGGUGUUGCAAAAAUGUUAUCUAUCGGGUUAGCAAUUAGCAUGUUUGACAUUUCAGUGGAAAUACUACUAUUAUCAGCUUUUUGCUAAGCGAUUUAGCUAAAAAAUGCAUCCCGUAUUAUUGGCAUACGGUCCCCAGUUAUUGGCCACCUUACUAUUUUGUUCAAUUACAAGAUAUAUCCAUUUAAUUUUGUUAAAAGAGACACCAACCUCGUCUCUGAAGUGUUUACUAGAUAGUUGGCUAGCCUUCCGUUUAAAAAAAUGUACUUGUCCGUCAACUUUUCAUUGUGUUGGCCAGUGCGCCUUCCUGUGGACUCCUAAAAAUGGUUCUUCACCA
Molecule: long non-coding RNA, 1071 nt
Filed under: Salmo salar (Atlantic salmon)
Lineage: Eukaryota; Metazoa; Chordata; Actinopteri; Salmoniformes; Salmonidae
Description: lncRNA (ENSSSAG00000108369.1, ENSSSAG00020083210.1)
Source: RNAcentral